Molecule: ribosomal RNA, 3815 nt
Filed under: Drosophila melanogaster (fruit fly)
Lineage: Eukaryota; Metazoa; Arthropoda; Insecta; Diptera; Drosophilidae
Description: eukaryotic LSU rRNA
Rfam family: Eukaryotic large subunit ribosomal RNA (bases 576-3333)
Source: RNAcentral
AAAACUCUAAGCGGUGGAUCACUCGGCUCAUGGGUCGAUGAAGAACGCAGCAAACUGUGCGUCAUCGUGUGAACUGCAGGACACAUGAACAUCGACAUUUUGAACGCAUAUCGCAGUCCAUGCUGUUAUGUACUUUAAUUAAUUUUAUAGUGCUGCUUGGACUACAUAUGGUUGAGGGUUGUAAGACUAUGCUAAUUAAGUUGCUUAUAAAUUUUUAUAAGCAUAUGGUAUAUUAUUGGAUAAAUAUAAUAAUUUUUAUUCAUAAUAUUAAAAAAUAAAUGAAAAACAUUAUCUCACAUUUGAAUGUGAAAAACGAAGAGAAAUAUUUUCUUUUUCAAUCAAAUAAUACUGAGAAAUGUCUAGCAUAAAAAAUUGAAAUAUUUUUCAUCUAGAAUUGUCUCUUAUUAAUGAUUCGGAAAUAGAAAAAUCUUGGUUAUGUUAUUAUUCUUCGUUGGUUCGUUAAAAAUGGAUAAAUAAAAACUUUGCAUACAAGAAUUAAUAAAAAUGUUAUAACGAAUUUAAUUAAAUGUUUUAUCAUUAUAUAUAAAGAAUUUAUGGCAAGAUAAAGUUAUAUACAACCUCAACUCAUAUGGGACUACCCCCUGAAUUUAAGCAUAUUAAUUAGGGGAGGAAAAGAAACUAACAAGGAUUUUCUUAGUAGCGGCGAGCGAAAAGAAAACAGUUCAGCACUAAGUCACUUUGUCUAUAUGGCAAAUGUGAGAUGCAGUGUAUGGAGCGUCAAUAUUCUAGUAUGAGAAAUUAACGAUUUAAGUCCUUCUUAAAUGAGGCCAUUUACCCAUAGAGGGUGCCAGGCCCGUAUAACGUUAAUGAUUACUAGAUGAUGUUUCCAAAGAGUCGUGUUGCUUGAUAGUGCAGCACUAAGUGGGUGGUAAACUCCAUCUAAAACUAAAUAUAACCAUGAGACCGAUAGUAAACAAGUACCGUGAGGGAAAGUUGAAAAGAACUCUGAAUAGAGAGUUAAACAGUACGUGAAACUGCUUAGAGGUUAAGCCCGAUGAACCUGAAUAUCCGUUAUGGAAAAUUCAUCAUUAAAAUUGUAAUAUUUAAAUAAUAUUAUGAGAAUAGUGUGCAUUUUUUCCAUAUAAGGACAUUGUAAUCUAUUAGCAUAUACCAAAUUUAUCAUAAAAUAUAACUUAUAGUUUAUUCCAAUUAAAUUGCUUGCAUUUUAACACAGAAUAAAUGUUAUUAAUUUGAUAAAGUGCUGAUAGAUUUAUAUGAUUACAGUGCGUUAAUUUUUCGGAAUUAUAUAAUGGCAUAAUUAUCAUUGAUUUUUGUGUUUAUUAUAUGCACUUGUAUGAUUAACAAUGCGAAAGAUUCAGGAUACCUUCGGGACCCGUCUUGAAACACGGACCAAGGAGUCUAACAUAUGUGCAAGUUAUUGGGAUAUAAACCUAAUAGCGUAAUUAACUUGACUAAUAAUGGGAUUAGUUUUUUAGCUAUUUAUAGCUAAUUAACACAAUCCCGGGGCGUUCUAUAUAGUUAUGUAUAAUGUAUAUUUAUAUUAUUUAUGCCUCUAACUGGAACGUACCUUGAGCAUAUAUGCUGUGACCCGAAAGAUGGUGAACUAUACUUGAUCAGGUUGAAGUCAGGGGAAACCCUGAUGGAAGACCGAAACAGUUCUGACGUGCAAAUCGAUUGUCAGAAUUGAGUAUAGGGGCGAAAGACCAAUCGAACCAUCUAGUAGCUGGUUCCUUCCGAAGUUUCCCUCAGGAUAGCUGGUGCAUUUUAAUAUUAUAUAAAAUAAUCUUAUCUGGUAAAGCGAAUGAUUAGAGGCCUUAGGGUCGAAACGAUCUUAACCUAUUCUCAAACUUUAAAUGGGUAAGAACCUUAACUUUCUUGAUAUGAAGUUCAAGGUUAUGAUAUAAUGUGCCCAGUGGGCCACUUUUGGUAAGCAGAACUGGCGCUGUGGGAUGAACCAAACGUAAUGUUACGGUGCCCAAAUUAACAACUCAUGCAGAUACCAUGAAAGGCGUUGGUUGCUUAAAACAGCAGGACGGUGAUCAUGGAAGUCGAAAUCCGCUAAGGAGUGUGUAACAACUCACCUGCCGAAGCAACUAGCCCUUAAAAUGGAUGGCGCUUAAGUUGUAUACCUAUACAUUACCGCUAAAGUAGAUGAUUUAUAUUACUUGUGAUAUAAAUUUUGAAACUUUAGUGAGUAGGAAGGUACAAUGGUAUGCGUAGAAGUGUUUGGCGUAAGCCUGCAUGGAGCUGCCAUUGGUACAGAUCUUGGUGGUAGUAGCAAAUAAUCGAAUGAGACCUUGGAGGACUGAAGUGGAGAAGGGUUUCGUGUGAACAGUGGUUGAUCACGAGUUAGUCGGUCCUAAGUUCAAGGCGAAAGCCGAAAAUUUUCAAGUAAAACAAAAAUGCCUAACUAUAUAAACAAAGCGAAUUAUAAUACACUUGAAUAAUUUUGAACGAAAGGGAAUACGGUUCCAAUUCCGUAACCUGUUGAGUAUCCGUUUGUUAUUAAAUAUGGGCCUCGUGCUCAUCCUGGCAACAGGAACGACCAUAAAGAAGCCGUCGAGAGAUAUCGGAAGAGUUUUCUUUUCUGUUUUAUAGCCGUACUACCAUGGAAGUCUUUCGCAGAGAGAUAUGGUAGAUGGGCUAGAAGAGCAUGACAUAUACUGUUGUGUCGAUAUUUUCUCCUCGGACCUUGAAAAUUUAUGGUGGGGACACGCAAACUUCUCAACAGGCCGUACCAAUAUCCGCAGCUGGUCUCCAAGGUGAAGAGUCUCUAGUCGAUAGAAUAAUGUAGGUAAGGGAAGUCGGCAAAUUAGAUCCGUAACUUCGGGAUAAGGAUUGGCUCUGAAGAUUGAGAUAGUCGGGCUUGAUUGGGAAACAAUAACAUGGUUUAUGUGCUCGUUCUGGGUAAAUAGAGUUUCUAGCAUUUAUGUUAGUUACUUGUUCCCCGGAUAGUUUAGUUACGUAGCCAAUUGUGGAACUUUCUUGCUAAAAUUUUUAAGAAUACUAUUUGGGUUAAACCAAUUAGUUCUUAUUAAUUAUAACGAUUAUCAAUUAACAAUCAAUUCAGAACUGGCACGGACUUGGGGAAUCCGACUGUCUAAUUAAAACAAAGCAUUGUGAUGGCCCUAGCGGGUGUUGACACAAUGUGAUUUCUGCCCAGUGCUCUGAAUGUCAAAGUGAAGAAAUUCAAGUAAGCGCGGGUCAACGGCGGGAGUAACUAUGACUCUCUUAAGGUAGCCAAAUGCCUCGUCAUCUAAUUAGUGACGCGCAUGAAUGGAUUAACGAGAUUCCUACUGUCCCUAUCUACUUUUGCUCCGACAAGCAGGGUUAGAGGAAUCCUAUCGCUGUAUUAGUCGUCUCUUACGACAAGCAACAGCGGACUGUGGUAGUAUUCUCGCCCGCUAACCACACGGCAGAGAUGUUGAGCUAAACGCCCCUCCUCCUCAGGAACACUUCUUCCGCAAACAUUGCCAGCCGUUGAGUCUUCUCUUGAUCAUCCAGGAUUCCCUCGAAGAUCCAGUUUUCGCCAAGGCGCUGCACUCCAAGUCCAUCUAGGUCCCGCAGAUCUGCAUAUAGGGGGCAAGCGCACAAGAUAUGCAUCCAGUCCUCAUAUGGAUCACCACAUGCGCAAGCAGUGGUAUCGCUGAGGGCUCUCCCAUGCAAAAAUGCAUUGAACGACCCGUGCCCUGUAAGCAGGAAAGACGUCCUCAUCGAGAAUCCAAAGCUUGGAUCCCGAUAGGCAAGAGUAACGUAUGGGAUAAACCUAUGCGUCACCCGUCCUGGUUCGCUGUCAUCGUCCCAUCUGUUCUGCCAACUCUGGAUUAAACACU